This is a long non-coding RNA of Stegastes partitus (bicolor damselfish), 693 nucleotides long. RefSeq lists it as uncharacterized. The transcript is spliced from 3 exons. NCBI's taxonomy places the organism in Eukaryota, Metazoa, Chordata, Actinopteri, Pomacentridae. The record is from RefSeq and is a predicted model, not a curated record.
AGUCGCAAGAGGCGAUCAGGGUCUGCAGAAGGACCGGCUCACAUGGACGACAUAGAAAACAGGGUUCCAGUGUCGAGCACAAGUUAUCAAAAACGCAGAAAGUAGAAGGUGGCGGCUCACAUGAAGGAAUCUUUAUCUCAUUGAAAACAAGACAAACAUUUUUGACUGACUGUUGAAGAGAAACUAUGCAGCUUUUUGAGACGUUUUCUUUUAUAUCUGAUCAUGUUGAAAAUCAUUGGGGUGCAGCUACAGUUAAAUUGUAGCCAAACAAUGUAGAGUUUUCCUUUUACAAUAUGCUGGAUUAGUGUUUUUACUUAAAUGCUGGAAUUGUUGCUUCGUAAAGACGUUGACGUCCUAAAUAAGGACGUGACUAUUCUUUUGAUAAAUGUAAUGCUUUAUUACUUAUCUUUUCACUGCCUUGUAUCGCCACCCAAAGAUUAGAAUAUUUGUGCUCGAGAGCUUUUUUGUCUUUUUUUGUAUCAGAUGUCACACUGAUCACAAACUACAGUUUAAGAAUCACAAUGUGUAGAACUGCAACUGUAAAUAUUUAACUGUUACGUAAGGAUUUUUUUUUUCUGGAGUCAUCAUCUGACUACUUGUAAUAUUAUGAAGUUUUUUACUUUGACUCAUUCAAGCAACUCCUAACCUGUAGCUCAACAUUCUUUGGUAGCAGUAAAUCUAUUCAACCACAAA